Aegilops tauschii subsp. strangulata is the source of this 297-nucleotide long non-coding RNA. RefSeq lists it as uncharacterized. The record is from RefSeq and is a predicted model, not a curated record. Lineage: Eukaryota; Viridiplantae; Streptophyta; Magnoliopsida; Poales; Poaceae.
CUGCGUGCUGUGUGCUGCGCGACCGAGCGGGACGGACGGGGCGCGCUUCCUGGAGCACCUGCGGGUGGUCGAUCCGGUCCCGUUCCGGUCGGAUCCGCGGCGGCGCUCCUCUCCGGCGAUGUCUCAGGUGGAUCCGAAGCGAGGCAUCCCGAUCUGCAACGCCACAGCUCUGGUCUGCUGUUGUGAUGGCCGAAGGAAGAGCAAGGAGGGGGAGGAGGGAUGGCAGAGGAGGUUAACAUCUAUAGCUUUUAUUAUGAAGCUAAGCUUCUAGACACACAUCUGAUCUGGUAGUUAUUU